AAAAAAAGAAAAAAGAAAAGAAAAAAAAGAAAAAGGAAAAAUCCCAGUUUUCAGUUUUAUGUAAUUUCACUGUUCUGUUGGGCAGGUGACGAGCAAGACACGAAGGUGGAGACAGACCCAAAGUGAAGUGACUGCCUCUGGACCACUGAGCACAUUCCCAAGAUCAUCCACUUUGGGGAUCUCUCCAGCUGGGGCAGGGAUCCUGGGGUCCUGGAGAAGGGAAGGCCCUUUCCUAACCAGACCUGAUUUUUGGGAAGCAUCUCUCCAUAGCGCAUCAAGCCCCGAUGCUGUGCAACUGAUGCAGCAGGCAGGAUACCCUAAAAUUCCCUGAUCCAUCUCAGCCCCUUCUGGCCCAGCGGGGGCUGCUGGUGAUGCGUGGCCAGGGCCCAGGCGGUGCCCACGUCGCCAGGGAGGUGACAUCGCCCGUCACGCAAAUUUCAACAAGUGUCUUUUCAGCCAAAACAGAUUUCUCAAACAAAAUGUAAAUAUUCAUGUAAAAAUGUUGGUUUUGGUGGAGAUUCUCCUGAUCUUCUUGGAAAUGGCAAUCAAAAUAAUGUUUUUUUAAUUGCUUUUCUAAAAUACUUUUUUUUUCUUUCUUUCUUUUAAGUUUUUCGCUUCAACAACCCGAAAUUUAUUCCAUGGAAAAACUUCAGUGUCAAAAUUAUUUGGUCCGUGUGUUCGGGGAGUAGGCUGCCGUGCCCAGCCCCUUGCAGCACGAGGUCUUCUUAUGGGAGCGCUUCUGACCUGCUCCUGCCUUCAUCAGCAAGAACGCCGCCUUGCCCUAAAUAUACAUAACAAGCUGCGGAACUCGACUGGCUGCGAGAUAGGAGCCAUCAGUGGAUGUUGACAGCCUUGAUGUCUUGGCGGGCAGGAUCCAACAGCAUCUCCCACUGUAUGGCGCUAGAUAUUUAAUAAAGUAAAACCCCCAGGAUCAAGAAGGCUGCAAUCCCUCCCAGCUCCUUUCUUCUGCUUUGCUCGAGCUCUUUAAAGCCUGCCUCCCGUCUCUCUCCAGAAAAUCCUUUCAUGCCUCCCUCACCAGACUGACAUUUUGACAAGUUGCCACGAGUGACAUCUGAUUUGUACAAAUUUCAAGACUAAUAAAUCUACCUGUCAAAGCGGAAACUUUAAAAGGAGCUAAGCCCAGCGGGUAUAGUUUAACAGAACUCAAGUUGAUGAAACUGUAGGAUGGAGAAAUUAUAUCUGUCACAAUCCACCCACAUUAGUUCUGUAGAGAUGUUGGCAACUGAAACAAACGUCUUUCACAGCCCUGAAAAAAAAAAAAAAAAAAAAAAAAAAAAAAAAAAA
Non-coding RNA from Anas platyrhynchos (mallard), 1305 nucleotides. Lineage: Eukaryota; Metazoa; Chordata; Aves; Anseriformes; Anatidae. The record is from RefSeq and is a predicted model, not a curated record.